GAGCGAUGCUACUGCUAUACAUGCAGUCGAGCGAAUGGAUUAAGAGCUUGCUCUUAUGAAGUUAGCGGCGGACGGGUGAGUAACACGUGGGUAACCUGCCCAUAAGACUGGGAUAACUCCGGGAAACCGGGGCUAAUACCGGAUAACAUUUUGAACCGCAUGGUUCGAAAUUGAAAGGCGGCUUCGGCUGUCACUUAUGGAUGGACCCGCGUCGCAUUAGCUAGUUGGUGAGGUAACGGC
This 240-nucleotide ribosomal RNA is filed under the name Bacillus cereus. RNAcentral's name for it is "partial 16S ribosomal RNA". It matches the Rfam family "Bacterial small subunit ribosomal RNA", at positions 50 to 264 of the family's 1533-position model. Lineage: Bacteria; Bacillati; Bacillota; Bacilli; Caryophanales; Bacillaceae. The record is from RNAcentral.